UACGUAGGGGGCAAGCGUUAUCCGGAUUUACUGGGUGUAAAGGGAGCGUAGACGGCAAUACAAGUCGGAAGUGAAAUACCCGGGCUCAACCUGGGAACUGCUUUGGAAACUGUAUGGCUGGAGUGCUGGAGAGGUAAGCGGAAUUCCUAGUGUAGCGGUGAAAUGCGUAGAUAUUAGGAGGAACACCAGUGGCGAGGGCGGCUUACUGGACUGUAACUGACGUUGAGGCUCGAAAGCGUGGGGAGCAAACAGG
Molecule: ribosomal RNA, 253 nt
Filed under: uncultured bacterium
Lineage: Bacteria
Description: partial 16S ribosomal RNA
Rfam family: Bacterial small subunit ribosomal RNA
Source: RNAcentral